GCCGCUUUAGCUCAGUCGGUAGAGCACAUCAUUCGUAAUGAUGGGGUCACGUGUUCGAAGUCACGUAAGCGGCACCA
This 77-nucleotide transfer RNA is filed under the name Rhizobium sp. KNZ14-9A. RNAcentral describes it as "tRNA-Thr". It matches the Rfam family "tRNA". Rfam says of the family: Transfer RNA (tRNA) molecules are approximately 80 nucleotides in length. Their secondary structure includes four short double-helical elements and three loops (D, anti-codon, and T loops). The record is from RNAcentral. Lineage: Bacteria; Pseudomonadati; Pseudomonadota; Alphaproteobacteria; Hyphomicrobiales; Rhizobiaceae.